This 222-nucleotide ribosomal RNA is filed under the name uncultured archaeon. Its description in RNAcentral is "partial 16S ribosomal RNA". It matches the Rfam family "Archaeal small subunit ribosomal RNA", at positions 503 to 725 of the family's 1478-position model. The record is from RNAcentral.
AUUGGGCCUAAAGCGUCGUAGCCGGCCGGACAAGUCCGUUGGGAAAUCUGCGCGCUUAACGCGCAGGCGGCCAGCGGAAACUGUCCGGCUUGGGGCCGGAAGACUCGAGGGGUACGUCCGGGGUAGGAGUGAAAUCCCAUAAUCCUGGACGGACCGCCGGUGGCGAAAGCGCCUCGAGAGGACGGACCCGACGGUGAGGAACGAAAGCCAGGGUCUCGAACC